UACGAGGGGGGGCAAGCGUUGUUCGGAAUUAUUGGGCGUAAAGCGUGCGUAGACGGUAGCGUAAGUCGGGUGUGAAAGCCCCGGGCUCAACCUGGGAAUUGCAUUCGAGACUGCUCUGCUAGGGUGCGGAAGAGGGAAGCGGAAUUUCCGGUGUAGCGGUGAAAUGCGUAGAUAUCGGGAAGAACACCCGUGGCGAAGGCGGCUCUCUGGGACGGUACUGACGCUGAGGUGCGAAAGCGUGGGGAGCAAACAGG
This 254-nucleotide ribosomal RNA is filed under the name uncultured bacterium. RNAcentral's name for it is "partial 16S ribosomal RNA". It matches the Rfam family "Bacterial small subunit ribosomal RNA", at positions 524 to 776 of the family's 1533-position model. The record is from RNAcentral.